AACGAACGCUGGCGGCAUGCCUAACACAUGCAAGUCGAACGAGACCUUCGGGUCUAGUGGCGCACGGGUGCGUAACGCGUGGGAACCUGCCCUUAGGUUCGGAAUAACUCCCCGAAAGGGGUGCUAAUACCGGAUAAUGUCUUCGGACCAAAGAUUUAUCGCCUUUGGAUGGGCCCGCGUUGGAUUAGCUAGUUGGUAGGGUAAAAGCAUACCACGGCUACGAUGCAUAGCUGGUCUGAGUGGGUGAUCAGCCACACUGGGACUGAGACACGGCCCAGACACUGACGGUAGGCAGCAGUAGGGAAUCUUACGCGAUGGGGGAAUGGGGGACGGAGGAAAGUCGCGUGAGUGAUGAAGGACUUCUGAUCGGAAAACGCUGAUAGUAGUGGGGAACAAAUGUGUAAGUAACCGUGCAGAUCAUGACGGUACCUAAUGAGAAAGCCACGGCUAACUACGUG
Molecule: ribosomal RNA, 458 nt
Filed under: uncultured bacterium
Lineage: Bacteria
Description: partial 16S ribosomal RNA
Rfam family: Bacterial small subunit ribosomal RNA
Source: RNAcentral